GACGAACCGUGCGAACGUUGUUCGGAAUCACUGGGCUUAAAGGGCGCGUAGGCGGACUGCCAAGUCCGGGGUGAAAUCCUCCGGCUUAACCGGAGAAUUGCCUGGGAUACUGGCGGUCUUGAGGGAGGUAGGGGCACGCGGAACUUCCGGUGGAGCGGUGAAAUGCGUUGAUAUCGGAAGGAACGCCGGUGGCGAAAGCGGCGUGCUGGCCCUCUUCUGACGCUGAGGCGCGAAAGCCAGGGAAGCGAACGGG
This 253-nucleotide ribosomal RNA is filed under the name uncultured bacterium. Its description in RNAcentral is "partial 16S ribosomal RNA". It matches the Rfam family "Bacterial small subunit ribosomal RNA", at positions 524 to 776 of the family's 1533-position model. The record is from RNAcentral.